RNAcentral lists this ribosomal RNA (497 nucleotides) under uncultured bacterium. RNAcentral describes it as "partial 16S ribosomal RNA". It matches the Rfam family "Bacterial small subunit ribosomal RNA", at positions 28 to 507 of the family's 1533-position model. The record is from RNAcentral.
GAUGAACGCUGGCGGCGUGCCUAAUACAUGCAAGUCGAGCGAACAGACGAGGAGCUUGCUCCUCUGACGUUAGCGGCGGACGGGUGAGUAACACGUGGAUAACCUACCUAUAAGACUGGGAUAACUUCGGGAAACCGGAGCUAAUACCGGAUAAUAUAUUGAACCGCAUGGUUCAAUAGUGAAAGACGGUUUUGCUGUCACUUAUAGAUGGAUCCGCGCCGCAUUAGCUAGUUGGUAAGGUAACGGCUUACCAAGGCAACGAUGCGUAGCCGACCUGAGAGGGUGAUCGGCCACACUGGAACUGAGAAACGGUCCAGACUCCUACGGGAGGCAGCAGUAGGGAAUCUUCCGCAAUGGGCGAAAGCUUGACGGAGCAACGCCGCGUGAGUGAUGAAGGUCUUCGGAUCGUAAAACUCUGUUAUUAGGGAAGAACAAAUGUGUAAGUAACUAUGCACGUCUUGACGGUACCUAAUCAGAAAGCCACGGCUAACUACGUG